Molecule: ribosomal RNA, 372 nt
Filed under: uncultured organism
Description: bacterial SSU rRNA
Rfam family: Bacterial small subunit ribosomal RNA
Source: RNAcentral
CAGAGGGUGCGAGCGUUAAUCGGAAUUACUGGGCGUAAAGGGCGCGUAGGCGGUUGAUUAAGCUGUGUGUGAAAGAAUUGGGCUUAACCUAAUAAAGCAGACAGAACUGAUUAACUAGAGUGAAGUAGAGGUGAUAGGAAUUUCCGGAGUAGCGGUGAAAUGCGUAGAUACCGGAAAGAACACCAGAGGCGAAGGCGAGUCACUGGACUUUAACUGACGCUGAGGCGCGAAAGCGUGGGGAGCAAACAGGAUUAGAUACCCUGGUAGUCCACGCCGUAACCGAUGAAAACUAGAUGCUAGGGAGCAAAAGCUGUUUAGUGUCGAAGCAAACGCGAUUAAGUUUUCCGCCUGGGGAGUACGGCCGCAAGGUUA